UCCACUACUCUCGUCGUUGUUCCAAUAGAGUAAGCGCCCAUCAAUCUAAUAAGAGAUUGAUGGUUGGUGAAUUUGCAUGCCCGCUACUCUCGUCGUUGUUCCAAUAGAGUAAGCGUCCGUCGAUCUAAUGAGAGAUUGAUGGUUGGUGAAUUUGCAUGUCCGCUACUCUCGUCGUUGUUCCAAUAGAGUAAGCGCCCGUCGAUCCAAUAAGAGAUUGAUGGUUGGUGAAUUUGCAUGUCCGCUACUCUCGUCGUUGUUCCAAUAGAGUAAGCGCCCGUCGAUCUAAUAAGAGAUUGAUGGUUGUUGAACUGGCAUGUCCGCUACUUUCGCCGUUGUUCCAAUAUAGUAAGCGUUCAUCGAUCUAAAGAGAGAUUGAUGAUUUUUUGAGUUCGCAUGUUCGCUACUCUCGUCGUUGUUCCAAUAGAGUAAGCGCCCGUCCAUCUAAUAAGAGAUUGAUGGUAGAUAAAUUGGCAUGUCCACUACUCUCGCCGUUGUUCCAAUAAAGAAGCAUCAAUCGAUGUACUGAGAGAUUGAGGGUUGAUGAAUUGGCUUGUCCGCUACUCUUGCAGUUGUUCCAAUAGAGUAAGCGCCCAUCGAUUAAAUGAAAGAUUAAUGGUUUUGAAUUGAUAUGCCCGCAACUUUCGUCGUUGUUCCAGUAGAGUAAGUGCUCAUCGAUCUAAUAAUUGGUUUGGCCUCAGAAAAAUUCGUGAUAAACUGUAAUUUUUGGCUGCCGUAUUCGGCAUCCCUACUUUACUUUAUGGUAACCUAAACUCUUAACUUCUAAUUUUAAAUUUGUCUAGUUUUUGUUGGUUCAUAUUGUUCGUGCCCUCCAGUUGGAUCAGCCGCCUUGCUUUUAGCUCCUAUCAUUUCCCACGUGGUAUUUUUCUGUUUUAUUCGUUUUUGAAUAUUUACUUUUCUAUUUUUACUAAUAAAUAUGGUAUAUGUUAAUGUAGCAAUUAAGGAUGUUGUUGAAAAAUUUCAGUAUGUGUUCCAGAAUAAAGGGCAUGGAUUUAAGGUUUCGAGGAUAUCGGGCAAUUGGCCAGGGCCUAUUUUUGGAGAUCCUGGAGUUGCUGCCAGGUAUUUUGUCAGAGUUGCUACCAGAAGUUGGCCUUUGGAAUUGCUUCCAGGAGCUGAUCAACACAUCCUAAAAUAUAAAGCCUCAGCUCUGGCUGAAAUGCUAGUGGAUGAGUCAUAGAAAGAAGUUUGGCAAAUAAUGGCUGACUGCGACCUAGCAGUGCCUUUCCACUGUUCAAGUCUUCAGCUGCAAAGAAAAUUAUGAUAAUGGUCCAAAAGUGUCUAUCUUUACAUUUCCUGAAGAUGAAAAAUCAAAAGCACAAUGAACUCACAGGCUCCUUUGUAGGAUUUCAAGUCAAGCAAAGGCUCAAGAUGCCUUUCCGCUGUUCAAAUCUUCAACUGCAAAGGAAAUUAUGAUAAUGGUCCAAAAGUGUUUAUCUUAAAAUUUCCUGGAGAUGAAAAAUCAAAAAUAGAAUGAACUCACAGACUCAUUCAUGGGAUUUCAAGUCAAUCAAGGGCUCAAUAUGUUAUUCCACUGUUCAAGUCUUCAGCUGCAAAGGAAAUUAUAAUAAUAGUCCAAAAGUGUCUAUCUUUACAUUUCCUGAAGAUGAAAAAUAAAAAAGCACAAUGAACUCACAGGCUCCUUCGUAGGAUUUCAAGUCAAUCAAAGGCUCAAUAUGCCCUUCCACUGUUCAAGUCUUUAGCUGCAAAGGAAAUUAUGAUAAUGGUCCAAAAGUGUCUAUCUUUAAAUUUCUGGAAGUUGAAAAAUCAAAAGCACAAUGAACUCACAGGCUCCUUCGUAGGAUUUCCAAGUCAAAUAAAGGCUCAAAAGUCCGUGAACUGCACUUCAGAGAAGAAGAAGUUAUAAGAAAUAUGGAAUAUUUUCAUGAAGAAAGUGGCUGUGUUCUAUAAUGUAUUUUUAUGCAUUUUAUUGUAAAAUAUAUAUAAUAUAGUUAAUUACCCAGGAUACCAGCAUAGCAGGAUAUCUUUUGAUUUGAAUUUUUCUUCUUGUGAGAGCUUGUAUACUUUUUCGGUAACAAACGUAUAUUAUAGUUUAUGGAAGAAAAUUGAGUAAAGAUUGGGGGUGUGGGAAAAAUUGUGGAAGUGGACGAAUAUGAAUUCGGUAAGCGAAAGUAUAAUAGAGGUCAUAGAGUUGAGGGUCAGUGGGUUUUUGGUGGUUUUCAGAGGAGAUCUGGUCGUACGUUUCUUGUUGUUGUCCACGAUAAAACAGCUGAAAUGUUGGCUGCUUGCAUAUAGGGAUUGCAAUAUCGGACCAAAAGUUCAAUUUUGGUAUUUGGUAUUUUUUUAUAUCUUUUUUAUAAUUGAUUUUUUUAUUUUAUUUAGAGUUAUUCUUAUUCAUUAUUAUGGCUUAUUAUUUAUGAGUAUAAAUAUAUAUAUAAUAAAUCUGAAAAAUAUUUUGAACCGUAAAGUAUGAUAUGCAAAUACAAUGUGAAUAACAAACUCACCAAUUUAAAAAAUAUCGAAAUUGUAUGCACUUUCUUCACAAUUACAACCUUGUUUUCACAGAUAUGAAUAUCAGACUACGAAUCCUGCGGAUGUGCAGUACAAGGAGCUGUAAUAGGAUAGUUUUGACCCGCCUCCUUGGAUGAUUGCGGACACUUCUCUUGGUGGUACUUUGUAUUCAAAGUCUAAUUAAUUUCGCACGUUAAGGAGACAUGAAAACAAAAACGUAUACUAUUUCGCUAUGUUGGCGAUCCUUGAACAUAUAGUGGAGACAAUUUAAAAAAAUUUCUAGUAAAUACCGAAAAAACGGUAUUUAAACUUGUGAAUACCGGUAUUACAAAAUUGUACAAAUGGCACAAAAUACCGGUAUUCGGUAUCCCGAUAUACCGGUAUUGCAAUCCCUACUUGCAUAAAACAGUGGGUUGAAUCGAGUACGGUUAUUUAUAUUGGUUACUGGAAGGCAUAUGAUAAUUUAGGUAAGGAAGGUUACAAGCACUUGAAAGUUAGCCACAUAUUGCAUUUUGUUCAGCCGGAAGAUUUCGUUAAUGGAGUUCCUGUUGUCCACACAAAUCAUGCGGAAUAUUGUCGAAAAGUUCUUGCCAUUAUAUAAUCGUCAAGGUGAUUUCCAACUUUAUUUGGCAAUGUUCUUUUUUAAUAGAUCUUGCAGUAACAAAACAGUCCAUGUUUUUAAUAAAUUCUUAGAAAUUACAGACAUUCCUUGGGAAGAAUAUUCCAUUAAAGUCUUAUAAAUAAGGGCUAUUCUAUAAGGGAGGUUAAUAAGGGCUAUUCUACAAGGGAGGUUAAUUUGCAAAACCAUAGUUAUGAAAAAAACGAAAAAAAUAUAUAUAAUAAUAAAAUGACAAAAAAUUAUUAAUUAAACUGUAUUUUUAUAUGAUUUUCUAAGGAGCAACUCACCUAUACAGCUAUUAACUUUUAUAAAAUAUGCUUUCAAAAAGAAAAAAAUAUGACUGUUUUCAUGUUUCACACCGAACUUUAGUGGUAUACGUAGUCAUCAGAACACAUUCUGCAUAAAAUUGAGAAACUAUUUAAAAAAAUCGGAGCAAAAAAUAAUUCGUCUUCAUCACCUUAUUUAAUAUUAAUUAUAAAAAUAAAUUCUUUCAUUUGGAAAAUAUCUUUAAAAAAUGAAGGGGGCAGUGCCAUCCCCUGAAUUAAAAAAUCUCUUGUUUUUUAAAUCACUUUAUUCGAAUCUUUUUCUAAAAUAUUUAAAGAAAUGAAGGGUAUGAGUUCAGUGGGGGCUACGCCAACUCCUGAGUUAAUAAAUUCUCGUGUAUUUUGUAAAUACUAGGAUUAAGUCUACCAUAGCCUGACAAGCCGGUCAAGACACUAACUACACACUAAAUACGCAUUAUUGGCGAUUUCUUGGCGAAACAAAAAUGGGGCCAAUAGGCAGUAUACGUGAGCUGCUCCACGUAUUGUAUUGUUAUUCCUUAUAUUUAACUCAUUUCGGAAAUUUCUGCUUUCAAUUGUGCAUUUAUUUAGUGUCGUUAUAGGCCAAUUAUUUAAUGCAUGUCAAAUCAUUGAGGUCAGUGAUCCCAGGAUGGCCGAACUUGUAAGAAGUGAUACUGGCUGUAAACUUGUUUCGGGGAUCGUGAUUAAUUGAAAUAUUUAGUUGGGUUCGAUUGUAAGAGAUGUCGUGUCGUGUGACAUCAUGUCGUGUGACAUCAGAGCUCCUGGUAAGCACCCAAAGAAAGAAACAUUCGAGUCCUUUUUCUUCGGUGGCGAUGUUCGAGUGAAGUCGGACGUGGUUUAUGUAGCCCCUUUACGUAGCCUUUUUUUAGGCUUAGCCAUGUUUUGGCGUCUCCAUCUCAAGUGAAC
This is a long non-coding RNA of Argiope bruennichi, 4314 nucleotides long. RefSeq lists it as uncharacterized. The record is from RefSeq and is a predicted model, not a curated record. The transcript is spliced from 6 exons. Lineage: Eukaryota; Metazoa; Arthropoda; Arachnida; Araneae; Araneidae.